GAUGCGAAACGCCGCGCUUGCCGGAGAUAGCAUUGAGGGCCCUUCCGCGGCCCGGCGUUUCGUCUCUUGGGACGAUUUUGUGCGUUCCCUCGGUCCCCGUGGGGCCCAUAGUCCUCACUUCUGCCACCCCAGAGUCGUCGCGCUUCACUAGACCCGCUCCCUCCACUGUCCCGGAGGCCCACAGACAUUCCCGCAUUCUGAGGCUCGCUCCCGUCCCGUGCCGCUGUUACCGGCCUCCGGCCCCGGCUCAUACAAGCAGGAGCACAUCGCUCUUUUAUGAAAGCCCUUCAACAUUUAACGUUUAAAUGCGAGGGCCGACCUGUGACAGACCUGGUUGGGAGUGCACGUCGACUAGGAUCUUCCUCGCCUCGGGCUUCCUUGGAGAGGCCGCCGGCUGGUCUGAGAUUUGGGUCCAGUUACAGUAAAUCCAGUCAACGCGAGUGUGUCAUUCCCCAGCUAUGCCUGUCUGCCUGGAUGCAGCCUCGCGGUGGACAGUGGGCUGAUGUUUUGCCGUGGGAGCGCCACGGACGGGAGAGGGAGUGAUAAUGAUUGUCAACCUAAUAACAGGCUAACUGAAAAUGAUAUUUAUUUGGGAAUAGGGCGUUGGCGAAUAUGCGUGCCAUAGUAAACGAUUUGCGCAUUCAGGAAAGUAAUGGUUUUUAAAGAAAAAAUGAAGAGGAAGAUAAUGGUUUGGAAAUAAUUAACCUUGGCUACAAAGAACAGUAACAAGUGUACUCCCGGCCGGGCGCGGUGGCUCACGCCUGUAAUCCCAGCACUUUGGGAGGCCGAGGCGGGCGGAUCACGAGGUCGGGAGAUCCAGACCGUCCUGCCUAACCCGGUGAAACCCCGUCUCUACUAAAAAUACAAAAAAUUAGCCGGGCGUGGUGGCGGGCGCCUGUAGUCCCAGCUACUCGGGAGGCUGAGGCAGGAGAAUGGCGUGAACCCGGGAGGCGGAGCUUGUAGUGAGCCGAGAUCGCGCCACUGCCCUCCAGCCUGGGCGACAGAGCCAGACUCCGUCUAAAAAAAAAAAAAAACAAGUGUACUCCCGUUCCAGGGUUGGACAGGCAGUUGCUGGGCAGCUGUCCUUGCUGAAGUAUUUUUUGUGUAAGAUUGCCUUAGUGCAAGGUUGUGGUUUUUGCAGAAUCUUGUGAUAGUUUUUCUUAUUAUUGAUUCAUGAGAAUUCUCCAUGGCCUUUCCCAGCUGUCUUUGUCAAGGUAUUUUUUAAACAUAAGUGAGUCCACUUUUAUUUGACAACUUGGGUAUUUUCCCCUUUUGAUUGAGAUCUUUCUCCAAAUGCAUCACUAAUGAGUCAUCCUGUAAUUAGGUUUUGAUAGUCCCCGUGCUGGGAUGAACUUGUCCCAGAUAGCUGGUCUGGUCCCACACUGGAGAGAGUGGCUGCUGGGAGUCAUUGUCAAAACCCUUUUUUACCAUAUUUGAGCAUCAAAGGAGGUUUGAAGGGUGUGGCUCUCAGGCUAAGUCUAACCUGGAGUCCAUUAUUAACUUCAACUUUUGUCACUUCUGUAGUCUUUCUAUCAUCUCAAAGUGCUGUGUCAGCAUUAUUCUGUUAGAAAUUGUACUUGUAGCCGGGCGCGGUGGCUCACGUCCGUAAUCCCAGCACUUUGGGAGGCCGAGGCGGGUGGAACACGAGGUCAAGAGAUCGAGACCAUCCUGGCCGACAUGGUGAAACCCUGUCUCCACUACAAAUACAAAAGUUAGCCGGAUGUAGUGGUGCGCACUUGUAGUCCCAGCUACUCAGGAGGCUGAGGCAGGAGAAUCACCUAAACCCAGGAGGCGGAGGUUGCUAUGAGCUGAGAUUGUGCCUAUGCAGUUCACCCUGGCAACAGAGUGAGAUUCCAUCUCAAAAAAAUAAAAAAAAAGAAAUUGUCCUUUUGCAAAAUAUGGCAAUGAAUAAGUUUAAAAGGGGAAAAUACAAGGUAAAAUCAAUAAUAAUAUGACUAUCCCAGUUUGCAUAUUGGUUUUGACCCAUGAACCUAGGCUUAAAGGAAAGCAAUUAAAAAGAAAAAAAUUAGAAAACAAAAAUAGAAAAAUAGAGAUUAAAGGAAGCCAAUUGAAUAAAUAAAAUGGCCAUAGAAAUUACACG
Homo sapiens (human) is the source of this 2101-nucleotide long non-coding RNA. NCBI's taxonomy places the organism in Eukaryota, Metazoa, Chordata, Mammalia, Primates, Hominidae. The record is from Ensembl.